GAUGAACGCUAGCGGCAGGCCUAAUACAUGCAAGUCGUACGGCAACACAGUUGCGAGCAAUCGCAACCGGUGGCGAGUGGCGCACGGGUGAGUAACGCGUAUGUAACCCUACCCUUCUCCGGGACAUAACUCCGCGAAAAGCGGUGCUAAUAUCCCAUACCAACUCAUCAAGACAUCUUCUUGAGUUGAAAGCAGCAAUGCGGUGAAGGAUGGGCAUGCGUCCCAUUAGCUGGUUGGUGAGGUAAUGGCCCACCAAGGCUACGAUGGGUAGGGGUUCUGAGAGGAAAGCCCCCCACACUGGUACUGAGACACGGACCAGACUCCUACGGGAGGCAGCAGUAAGGAAUAUUGGGCAAUGGUCGAAAGACUGACCCAGCCAUGCCGCGUGCAGGAUGAAGGCCCUAUGGGUUGUAAACUGCUUUUAGCCGGGAAUAAACACCCGUUUUAUAACGGGCCCGAAGGUACCGGCUGAAUAAGCAUCGGCUAACUCCGUG
RNAcentral lists this ribosomal RNA (494 nucleotides) under uncultured bacterium. Its description in RNAcentral is "bacterial SSU rRNA". It matches the Rfam family "Bacterial small subunit ribosomal RNA", at positions 28 to 507 of the family's 1533-position model. The record is from RNAcentral.